Molecule: long non-coding RNA, 773 nt
Filed under: Fukomys damarensis (Damara mole-rat)
Lineage: Eukaryota; Metazoa; Chordata; Mammalia; Rodentia; Bathyergidae
Description: lncRNA (ENSFDAG00000022442.1)
Source: RNAcentral
CUUCUGUCAGUGCUUGAAGACUUUUUCCAAGAAAUAUUAAGACUCUAUCAGGUCUCACUUGUUAACGCAAAAGUCCUCAGGACAGAAGCCAGGACCAUCUUUGAAGUCACCAGCUAUUACCGGCAAAGGAAAACGAUUUAAAACAAAACAAGACGCUGCAUUGCUUCAUUGCACAAAAAGGUUAUAGUCUAAUUAAAGAAUAAAAUAUCACCCUGGAAGCAACAGAAGACCUGUGCAGUUUCCAGGUGGCGAUCAUUGCCUCGGACUUCAGUUAAAGAAAAGGAACAAUAAAGCACGGAACAUGGAGAACCUCUCUCAAUCCUCCACCACUGAGGAAUUUACGACUGCUAGAAGGACAAUUAAGCGGAGUCGGUCAGCCAGAAAACCAGCCUGAAAGCUGCGAGGGGUCUGGAGCAACAAUCAAAAUUAGAAAAAGGACAAAUCAUGCAUAUAUAACUUUUCUAUCAUGCUGUUGGAGAGAAUGGAGCUCAAACGUGUCUACUCCUCAGGAUCCUGGUUCUCUAUGGCUUCUGAGAGAGAAUCACAAGGUAACAGUAUAGUAUGAGCCCAUAGCUGACACAAAGAGAAGGGACAUUUUUUAUCAUUGCUAUUAACUAUAAGUGAGAAUAACUACUAACUGCAUAUGAAUAGAAAAUGAAAUACCUAGAGAUUGACAUAAAGUAAAAAUGAUUUUACAAAACCAAGGAAACUACAGAGAGUUCAAGUAUGGAUAAGAAAUGAGCUACUUAGAAAGUCACAAACCAGGCAGAGAG